GAGGGUAUAGCUCAGCGGUAGAGUGCCUGCCUAGCAUGCACAAGGUCCUGGGUUCAAUCCCCAGUAUCUACA
This 72-nucleotide transfer RNA is filed under the name Camelus bactrianus (Bactrian camel). It matches the Rfam family "tRNA". From Rfam's summary of the family: Transfer RNA (tRNA) molecules are approximately 80 nucleotides in length. RNAcentral also lists the same sequence under 2 other names. Lineage: Eukaryota; Metazoa; Chordata; Mammalia; Artiodactyla; Camelidae. The record is from Rfam by way of RNAcentral.